This 487-nucleotide ribosomal RNA is filed under the name uncultured bacterium. Its description in RNAcentral is "bacterial SSU rRNA". It matches the Rfam family "Bacterial small subunit ribosomal RNA", at positions 1 to 507 of the family's 1533-position model. The record is from RNAcentral.
AGUAGUUUGAUCAUGGCUACAGAAUCAACGCUGGCGGCGUGCCUCAGACAUGCAAGUCGAACGAUUAAAGCUCUCUUCGGAGAGUGUAUAGAGUGGCGCACGGGUGAGUAACACGUAAGUAAUCUACCCUCGAGUGGGGAAUAACAACCGGAAACGGUUGCUAAUACCGCAUAAUGCAGCGGCACCGCAAGGUGACAGUUGUUAAAGAUUUAUCGCUUGAGGAGGAGCUUGCGGCAGAUUAGCUAGUUGGUAGGGUAACGGCUUACCAAGGCUACGAUCUGUAACCGGUCUAAGAGGACGGUCGGUCACACUGACACUGAAUAACGGGUCAGACUCCUACGGGAGGCAGCAGUCGGGAAUUUUGGGCAAUGGGCGAAAGCCUGACCCAGCAACGCCGCGUGAAGGAUGAAGUAUUUCGGUAUGUAAACUUCGAAAGAAUAGGAAGAAUUAAUGACGGUACUAUUUAUAAGGUCCGGCUAACUACGUG